RNAcentral lists this long non-coding RNA (535 nucleotides) under Phoenix dactylifera (date palm). Its description in RNAcentral is "long non-coding RNA (PDAC_LNC022303)". Lineage: Eukaryota; Viridiplantae; Streptophyta; Magnoliopsida; Arecales; Arecaceae. The record is from RNAcentral.
UUUUUGAUGUUUUUUCGGGGGUUUUGUUCAAUAAAUGCGUGGAUGUCGAUGAUGCUGCUGAUUUCCUGAUGUCUUGGACCCUUUGCCGUGUUAGAUCUGAUGAACUUGAUUGUAGCUUUGUUGAUGAUCUGUUACUAGAUCUGCUUGGUUUUUGAGAACUACUGCGAUCAAUUUUGGUUUUUUUUUUUUGGUUGGAAAAGGGCGGAUCUGGUUUUGGGUAGUUGAAAACUCGGUUUUUUUUUGGAUUUUUAAACUAUUUUUUCUCCUUUUUUUGGCUCCGAACGGGCGGGCCCAGAUUGUUAUGCCGGGUUUCGUUGAUAGGGUUGAUGUACUCUUGGAAAUUAGAUCUGGCUUACUGCAGAGUUCAGACCCGAGAUUUUAACUCGAGAUCAGUGCAAGAGCUCUAGAUCGGUUCUUUGUUAUGGAUUAGCUGAGAGAUCCGCUUCUUUCUUUUUUUUUUUUAAAUUUCUACCUUUCUGCUGAUUUCAAGGGUUGUAGAUUGACUAUAGUGUCCGAAGCUACUUCCUUUGACCUU